Lathyrus oleraceus (garden pea) is the source of this 1376-nucleotide long non-coding RNA. RefSeq lists it as uncharacterized. The record is from RefSeq and is a predicted model, not a curated record. NCBI's taxonomy places the organism in Eukaryota, Viridiplantae, Streptophyta, Magnoliopsida, Fabales, Fabaceae. The transcript is spliced from 3 exons.
UAGCCGUCAACUUCACAGGUGAGACCUUUUGUCAAACACCUUGUUUGCUUCAAUAAUAAUCAUAUCAUAUUAAUUCAAAAUUGCUUAUUUCAAUUUCCCUCACUGCGGUUACACCUCUCUCUCCGCCUCAGAAGAGCUAUUUGGAUUAUUUGACAUUGAAAUUGGCUUCACUUUGAGAUAUCAAGUUGCAAUUUGUACACUCUAGUUUUGUUGAUUAGCUAUUGUGAAGUUGAUGUAAUCUGUUACAAUUAAGUUCUUUUCUUCGUUCUUACAAUAAACCUUUCACCCUUUAUACCAAAGCCUUCAUUUUUUUAGGUUCCAGAGGCAGCAAGUGUUUAGGAUUGGAACACCACAUCAUUCAAAAUCUUGAGGCAUUGAAUAUGUGUUACAUCUCUUAAAUAUUCAACUUCAUACAAAUUUAUAGUCCAUGUCUCUUAACAUAUUCUCUCACGUCAAAGAUUGAACAUCUAUAGCGUUAAAAUAAAUGGUGGACGAACCAACGAAGGAUCUUGAACGAGGCUCUUGAUACCAUAAUCCGACAACACGAUUAGUUAGGGAUUUCAAUAUUCCUUCAUUCUUCACAAUAAUAUUCGAUCAUUUGAUGUCUCGAUACAUCACACCAUGCGAGUGAAAGUAUUCAAGAGCAGAAAACAAUUGCUUCAUUUAGCAUUAAAUUUAUGGUUGACUGGACUUGAUAUCAAGAUUGUCAAAGAGCCCUGCAAUGUCAUGUUUCAUGUACUUAAACACAAGGUAUAAGUAGUAAUUAACUCUGAAAGCUUCGUGAUAUUGGGAUGAUCAAGGUUUCUCAGAAUCAUUAUCUAAUCUUUAGAUGAUCUCGGUCUAAAUUGUUAAACCUCACCUUCUUCAGUGUCACUAUCUUCCUAGACUCAAUAUCCCUCUUUUUAAAUACAUUGUUAUAUGUACUCUUUCCAAUCAUCUCUCUCAAAGAUCACAAACCAUAUUCUGGAGAUCUCUGAGAGAGAUGAUUGGACACGGUACAUGUGAUAAUGUAUUUAAAACGAGGACAUUGAGACAUGGAAGAUAGUAUCACUAAAGAAGGUGAGGUUUAACAAUAUAGACUCGGACAAAGUAAAGUUGUGGCAAUGGAGAUAGUGAUUAUGAGAAAGCUUAAUCAUCCUAAUAUCAUGAAGCUUCAGGAGUAUAUGGAGCAUGAUAUUGCAGAGCUCUUGAGCAAUCUUGAUAUCAAGUCCAAUCAACCACAAAUUAAGUGAUAUAUGAAGCAAUAGUUUUGCUCCCUUGAAUACUUUCACUCGUGUGGUGUCAUGAGACAUGAAAUGAUCAAAUCUUAUGAACAAUGGACAUACCAAGAAUAUGUUUUGACGGUCCCAAAUCUUUCAUAGCAGAAUGCUUCUUCA